UGCAGUCGAGCGUCAGAUUGAACGCUGGCGGCAGGCUUAACACAUGCAAGUCGAGCGGGGGAAGGUAGCUUGCUACCGGACCUAGCGGCGGACGGGUGAGUAAUGCUUAGGAAUCUGCCUAUUAGUGGGGGACAACAUCUCGAAAGGGAUGCUAAUACCGCAUACGUCCUACGGGAGAAAGCAGGGGAUCUUCGGACCUUGCGCUAAUAGAUGAGCCUAAGUCGGAUUAGCUAGUUGGUCGGGUAAAGGCCUACCAAGGCGACGAUCUGUAGCGGGUCUGAGAGGAUGAUCGGCCACACUGGGACUGAGACACGGCCCAGACUCCUACGGGAGGCAGCAGUGGGGAAUAUUGGACAAUGGGGGGAACCCUGAUCCAGCCAUGCCGCGUGUGUGAAGAAGGCCAUAUGGUUGUAAAGCACUUUAAGGGAGGAGGAGGCUACUUUAGUUAAUACCUAGAGAUAGUGGACGUUACUCGCAGAAUAAGCACCGGCUAACUCUGUGCCAGCAGCCGCGGUAAUACAGAGGGUGCGAGCGUUAAUCGGAUUUACUGGGCGUAAAGCGUGCGUAGGCGGCUUAUUAAGUCGGAUGUGAAAUCCCCGAGCUUAACUUGGGAAUUGCAUUCGAUACUGGUGAGCUAGAGUAUGGGAGAGGAUGGUAGAAUUCCAGGUGUAGCGGUGAAAUGCGUAGAGAUCUGGAGGAAUACCGAUGGCGAAGGCAGCCAUCUGGCCUAAUACUGACGCUGAGGUACGAAAGCAUGGGCUCCAAACAGGAUUAGAUACCCUGGUAGUCCAUGCCGUAAACGAUGUCUACUAGCCGUUGGGGCCUUUGAGGCUUUAGUGGCGCAGCAUUCGCGAUAAGUAGACCGCCUGGGGAGUACGGUCGCAAGACUAAAACUCAAAUGAAUUGACGGGGGCCCGCACAAGCGGUGGAGCAUGUGGUUUAAUUCGAUGCAACGCGAAGAACCUUACCUGGCCUUGACAUACUAGAAACUUUCCAGAGAUGGAUUGGUGCCUUCGGGAAUCUAGAUACAGGUGCUGCAUGGCUGUCGUCAGCUCGUGUCGUGAGAUGUUGGGUUAAGUCCCGCAACGAGCGCAACCCUUUUCCUUACUUGCCAGCUAAUCGGAUGGGAACUUUAAGGAUACUGCCAGUGACAAACUGGAGGAAGGCGGGGACGACGUCAAGUCAUCAUGGCCCUUACGGCCAGGGCUACACACGUGCUACAAUGGUCGGUACAAAGGGUUGCUACACAGCGAUGUGAUGCUAAUCUCAAAAAGCCGAUCGUAGUCCGGAUUGGAGUCUGCAACUCGACUCCAUGAAGUCGGAAUCGCUAGUAAUCGCGGAUCAGAAUGCCGCGGUGAAUACGUUCCCGGGCCUUGUACACACCGCCCGUCACACCAUGGGAGUUUGUUGCACCAGAAGUAGCUAGCCUAACUGCAAAGAGGGCGGUUACCACGGUGUGGCCGAUGACUGGGGUGAAGUCGUAACAAGGUAGCCGUCAGUAUUAGGCCAGAUGGCUG
RNAcentral lists this ribosomal RNA (1517 nucleotides) under Acinetobacter baumannii. RNAcentral describes it as "bacterial SSU rRNA". It matches the Rfam family "Bacterial small subunit ribosomal RNA". The record is from RNAcentral. Lineage: Bacteria; Pseudomonadati; Pseudomonadota; Gammaproteobacteria; Moraxellales; Moraxellaceae.